GGACACUUAGCUCAGCCGGUUAGAGCGUCGCCCUCACAUGGCGAAGGUCGGAGGUUCGAUCCCCCCAGUGUCCA
Molecule: transfer RNA, 74 nt
Filed under: Candidatus Omnitrophota bacterium
Lineage: Bacteria; Pseudomonadati; Candidatus Omnitrophota
Description: Candidatus Omnitrophica bacterium tRNA-Val
Rfam family: tRNA
About the family: Transfer RNA (tRNA) molecules are approximately 80 nucleotides in length. Their secondary structure includes four short double-helical elements and three loops (D, anti-codon, and T loops). Further hydrogen bonds mediate the characteristic L-shaped molecular structure. tRNAs have two regions of fundamental functional importance: the anti-codon, which is responsible for specific mRNA codon recognition, and the 3' end, to which the tRNAs corresponding amino acid is attached (by aminoacyl-tRNA synthetases). tRNAs cope with the degeneracy of the genetic code in two manners: having more than one tRNA (with a specific anti-codon) for a particular amino acid; and 'wobble' base-pairing, i.e. permitting non-standard base-pairing at the 3rd anti-codon position.
Source: RNAcentral